Molecule: long non-coding RNA, 346 nt
Organism: Helianthus annuus (common sunflower)
Lineage: Eukaryota; Viridiplantae; Streptophyta; Magnoliopsida; Asterales; Asteraceae
Exons: 3
Source: RefSeq, a predicted model, not a curated record
CAAAUUGAAAGGCAAGAUGAAGCUUUAACUCAUAACCGAGCAUAGAUUAAUGAUCACCUUCACAAGGGGAUCGCAAGGAAUCAUGUCGAGACGGAAUCAAGCACGGAAGGCUAACGGGUCAAGAAGUGGCGAAGAAACAAAUAUGAAUACGGAUGCACGAGGAACGAGAAUAUCGGAUUCUUACGAAAUUUAAGCUCUACCUGAAAUAAGAGGAUGAGUAAGGAUAGUUGGAUGAACUAAUGUUAAAUUGUCGAACGUUAUUCAAUAUUUAAUUAUAUGAGAUUAAUGUUAUAUGAUGUUGUCGUUGACUAAUGACUAAGUUGUAUGUGAUGCCCACAGGUGCCAC